CAAAGGACAUUUAUUUUUACAUUAAUGUUUUGAUAUAUUUGAUUAUAUAUAUCAAUUGAAUGGUGACUCUUAUUUUUUAAAGAGCUGGCCAGUUUCAAUUGUGCUACCAAUUUCAAUGCUAUUGAAGUCGUUAGCCGGGUUUUGAGCGUCACUAAGCCAGCUCUGGUGCAUUAACUCCAGCUCCAACGAUCAACGUCAUGCUGGAAACUUUUCCGGCCAGCUCCAGCGGUCAACGUCGUGCCGGAGCUACGACAAUGCAGGUGCCGAUGGCCUACGAAGCUUCAGAUGAGGAACCCAAAACAAAACAGAGUAGAAACCAUGGGACAGCAGGCCGACAGCCAGACUUCGACGAUUCGUUGGCCUGCAAAAAAUUAGUAUGUUGCCGCCAGCGCAGCAGAGUCAGAAGAAGCAGAAAAUUUGUGCAGGAAGGGCAGACAUUUCCUUUGCAGCAUAUUGCUCUCAAAAGGUUCCAAUAGCAACACAAAUGGCACAGAAAAUGCCACAUCUGUUGAUGGUUUUCAAUCUGAAUGAAAACAGGAACUAUCAGCUCAAACCUGUUGAGCCAUCUAAGAACCGUCAUUUUAUAUCACCUUUUAGCUAUUUAGGAAAUGAGCCUUCGUGAAAGAUUGAAGAUUUAGCUUUGUGAAAUAUGUGAUGAAAUUUUCCUUUUUCUAAAUGUUCAGGUGGCAAAGUCAAAAGUAUUGGUUUGCUACCUACAUCUGGAUACACAUCAACUCUUCCACCUGUUCUGCUUGUAGUGUGAUGUUUUUUCCCUUUUUCUAUUAUUUGCUUUCUGACAGAGCAGGAUAACAGUGAAGGAAUUUAAUUUGCUAGUAAGAGGGAAAAUCUCUUUGAACUUAUCAUAUGUUUUGAUCAUGUUUAGAAUUUAUCAUAUGUUGUUGUCUAAUCUUUUAUGUCAUAAUCCUUGCAUUACUGGAAUGAACAGAACUUAUUCUUGGCUACAAUUUGGUUGCUGUUCUCCUAUAAGGGGCUUGUUUUAACCGAUAUAAGGAUUUAUUCAGCUUGCAACCUGUCGUCUUCUCCUAUCAGCCAUAUCAUUGUGGCAACAUCAUGUAUGCAUCUUCAGCAUUGUAAACAUCCAUUUUAUGUAAGCUCCAGCUGAGUUUCACUGCAAUGGUUAGUAAGCAUCUUAUUGUAACAAGCCCGGCAUGCAAGGGCAUAUGUUGCACUGUAGUCCACCUUCUCUACUUGAGCAUGACACUCAGCUAAUUAAAAAAUGUGCCUUAAUCUCUCAAUGAUCAGGUCCGGACUAUGGUUAGUUUGAUAAACUUACACCCAAUCGGCUUGACACCAGGUGGGCAUUGAGUAAGAGACACUACAACAAAACUCAUUGAUGCUGACGAUGGAUAGUCCGUCGAGCUAGGGGAAAAGAUUGCCGACGGACAACGUCGACCUCAAAAAAAGCCUGCAGGCGUAUCCAUCGCUGCAGAAAUCGCUCGAGAAGGAAAAACUUUCCGACGACAGCCAAGGUGGUCGGCAAAGGAGCCAGGGAAGGCGGUGAUUUUCCUGCAUCUCUCUCGACACUAGUGGUGAUCAGGAUAGGAUAAUUCAGAAAAAUAAAACUAUGGCAUAGGCGUACAACAACGGCACUAAUCAUGUUGAUCUCCAAAUAUCCACCCUUUCGGUAACGAACAUGGAGUGGCGGGAAACAUUGGUGGGUAGAUGGAAGGUCGUUAGGGUAACCUUCCACAGCCAGCGAAACCUGCCAUUUUGCAAGAUGAUAAAAGUUGUUUUCGGUAGAGCUGAAUAGGAACACAGAAGAUUUGGGGAUUAUUGCAUGUUUUCUUCUUCGUCUCUCUCUAUCGGGCAUCAAUAAUCGAUUUGUCGCUGGUGGAGAUUGUGGCAACGGUAUCAAAACUCUCUCUCCUUCUCUCCCUACCUCUCUUAUUUCGUUUUACUCUUAUUUCGUUUUUAUUAUCGAGGGGACUUUUUGUCCCCAAAUUUUACUUUUAGUUCCCAUUUUAUCAGCUCUUCCCCCCGUCUUUCUUUGUUAUGUUUAAGCGUCAGACAAUUUUUUCCUCAUAAAUGUCAGCCAUGUACCCUGUUGAUGAUAUGUUGAUGA
Molecule: long non-coding RNA, 2083 nt
Organism: Nymphaea colorata (pocket water lily)
Lineage: Eukaryota; Viridiplantae; Streptophyta; Magnoliopsida; Nymphaeales; Nymphaeaceae
Exons: 3
Source: RefSeq, a predicted model, not a curated record